GCAUCAUAUGCAACUCUCCACUCCUCCUAUCCUGUUUUUCAGCCUUCAUUUCCAUCUCUUUACUUCUAAGAGAAUCUACGACAAUUUCAGGUGUUAGCGUGUCCCUACCAUACUUAAUAGCAUUUUUAACUUCUUUAUAAGAGUCCGGGAUUGAAUUGAGCAAGAUAAUGGCCUUAUAGGUUUCAGACACGGCUUCGUCACAAUUGACAAUAUCUUGCACCAAUUUAUUAAAUACAUCUAGAUUGUCGUCGAGAUCCUUUGAAGGAUCCAUUUUAAAGCUGAAGAAUCGUUCGAGUAGGUAGAGUUUAUUCGGUGUAGAUUUAAGCAAGUAUAAGUCUUCUAGUCUUUUCCAAAGUUCUUUGGUGGUUUUUAGUUUUCCCACUUUUCUUAAGACGGCGUCAGACAAGUGUAAUAUUAUUGAGGUAUAGGCAAGCUCAUCGGCUUCCUCUUUUUGUUCUUUUGAGAUAUCAGGUGCAAAAUUGCCUUCGAUGGCUUUUGACACCUUUUGUUGGACUAGUAUGCCUCUCAUCUUUUGUUGCCAGAUAGAGAAGUCCCCUUUACCGUUAAAAAUUCCCAAAUCAAAAUUAUGUGUUGUCAUUGGUUAACACCCUAAUUAAACCACACGAAGUAGUAUUGGGAAACGUGAUAAGGUAAUGUCUUGUUAAUUAUUAGCAAAGGUAACAAUGAACCUAAACGCUACGUCCACCAAGGAAUAACAAGCACUUUAAAUUAAAAGAACAAAUACUCAAUUAACGCAAGUAAUCCUAAUUCUAGCACACGCAAUGGUUACCCCUUCACGGUAACCCCAAAACCUAACGAUCACCCCACACGAUGAUCUUGCUAUUGCUGAAUUUAAAUGGAUUAAGCCAAUUUUGGUCUCGCCUGGAUAGACAGUCCGUAGAGUGGAGAAAAACGAGCUUGCUGUUGAAUUUCAGUCGGCGUCGUACCAAAGGGCAAAAUCGUCCAACUUUUUCUGUGUAACCUGAAACACAAAACAAAGUAUAUCAGCGCGUUCGGGAGAUCGAAACAAACAAGUUACCUGAAGAUUGCGUCGCCGGAAAACCUCCCACGCGCCGCCCACGCCUCUCCCGGAGCGCCUCGACCUGCUGAUGAUGGGUAUGGCCUCCGUUUGUCCAAUCGAGCUUUGGUUUGUGAGUAAUUGCAAAUUUUCAGAUUCGGGUUCUAGGUUGAAGAUGUGAAAAUUAGCCGAUUUUGAGCCCUUUUUUGCUACCCAAGCUCUGAUACCAGAUGUUAGGAUCUUCCUCUUCCUGCUCACGGUGAUUUCCGGGCUCAGUUAACCAUUAAAAUCGAAUUCAACAUCAAAUUGGAGUCACCAAAGCCGCUGGCGCCUCUUCCUCCUAUGGUUGCUUUCCUCCUUUGCUUUGUUGAUUCAAUCCACACACUUAGGAUGGAUACCACUCAGGUAAGGUACACAAAGACUCAAGCAAUUGGGAUGGAGAAGAAAUCACGAAGAAGAUGAAGACUGAAGAACACGGCAGAACCUCUAUCUCACGGCUUCAACUUGGACGGGUUCAACAAGGAUGAAAACACCAAUAUAUAUAGUAAGUCAAAUGGCCAACAUAAGGUAAGUAGGGAUAUGGUAAGUAGGCUCAACUAGGGUUAACUUCCAAUGGAAAGAAUCAACAAGCCACAAAGAGUAUUAGCCGUCCAAUAGGUAAAGCAACGUUUGGUCGGUUCAUCCAUUAUUCGAUGUUGAAUUAUCGUUUAGUCAUUCAUGUCGACUGAUAAAAUUGGUUCUUAUUAUCGCCCGGGAGGUCGUUUGACAGCAUAAUGUCUAACAUGCUUCCUCUCUUGAAAAAGGACAAGUUCAAGAGGUUAACCAAAAAUGGAAAAAAAAUGAGAGAGAGAAUUACACAUCAUUUGAAAAAAAUCCAUCAAACGAAACACCUACAUCAUGUCACUCUUUUCUGUCACAUGCUUUCAAUUGGUUCUGACUUGACAAUUGGAGUGAGCUCGACCUUUCCUUCGGGGAUUGAUGCUCACACUUGAAGUUUGCCAAAAUAUACAAAAAACUAUCUCCCAAUCUUUAUGAAACUUCCAGAAUUUUCAACAAUUCUAGAAUAUCCAUGCUGUAACCUAUCUUGGCAAGUCUCAUAUUUAGUCGUGUGUACGCAAACUUUUGAGCAUCUAAAUACAAGAUGCGGGGAGUUUGAAGUUAUCUCCUUGGAUUAUAUCUGCGUUUAUAUAAAACAAAGUCAUCUUCGAUGCCAACUUUCUGCUUAUAUUUUCCCUAUAUCCAACAGAUAUCAGGUUUUGGCUGGCGUGAUUGAACAAAGGAUGUUGAGCCUUUUCUGCAUAGACACAAGUUAUUCUUGAGUGCAAUUUGCUUUGCCGUGCGAACUGGCAACACGUUCUUAGGCUCCUUACUGUGAGAUUUUUAGCCUUUUCCCUGUGCACUUCUCUUAUAGUGUUAUUAUUGCAUGAUUUUAUAAACUCUUUAAACGUUUUGCAGGUGGGUUGAUUAUGCCGUUGGAUAGGAAUUCAAAAGGAUCAUGAUGUUGUUGGAAAUUUAUGCCAUCGGGGAAAAUGGAGAUGAAAAUUAAGAAAUAGAAAUUUAAGAAGAUGGAAGUUAACAAGGAAAACAAACCAAUAUGGAAGGCUCAAACACGAAAAUGAUUCGUUGUCCUCAAACGAUAUUUGCCCCUUCUCGUAUAAAAAUUUGGUGCUUAAAAGGUUUUAUGGCAAAUAGUUCGUAGGAUUGAUCAAGCCUUGUUGUAGAAAAUUACAAAAGCACAAAUGAUUUUUCCACCCGAAUCUUGAAGAACACUUGAAGAACUUGAAUAUGGAGGGAAGAAAGUUUAAUUCUUUCAUGUGGAUUUGUUUAUAUGUUUUUCAAAAACUUGUAAUUAUUCUUCAAUGUCCAUUAAUCACUUAUUUAUAGACAUGAAACAUUUCCACACGAAAAGGUGCCAAAACGAAAUGAAAAGCUGCCAAAAUCAUAAUUGAAAAACUGCCAACGGCUAUAUUCCUUCUAUGCGGUCGCAUAGAAGGAUCCUAUGCGACCGCAUAUGUUUCACAAAGGUAGGGCCGUUAGGCCCUGUAGGUAUCUAUGCGGUCGCAUAGAAGGAUCCUAUGCGACCGCAUAGGUUUAUAUUUUGGCCUCCAUUUUUUCACUUCAUUCCAUCUUUAUUUUAUUCCACACACCGGUUCUUAUUAUUGUUGAACAAAUAUACAACAGAUGUAGAAUCAGAAGUGGGAACUUCUGCUUCAUGCUGAGGCCAUGGAGUAAAUACGAGUUUUCCCAUUAGUCGACAUCUUAUAGAAGUCAUUUACUUGGGAUUAAUCAAGUUUAUCGCAAUUAUACAGUUAUUUAAGAUUUUCAAAUAUUUAUAUGGUUGGUGUGUUGAAAUUAUUAAUGGUGAAACAGUUAAUUUGCUUUGAUUUUAGCACAUCUUCUUUGUAGCCUGGAGAUUUUAAUUGCUUAGUAAAUGGAUAUACUUGGUUUUCCAGAAGAACCAGUACAC
This 3485-nucleotide long non-coding RNA is filed under the name Olea europaea subsp. europaea. Lineage: Eukaryota; Viridiplantae; Streptophyta; Magnoliopsida; Lamiales; Oleaceae. The record is from RNAcentral.